RNAcentral lists this ribosomal RNA (358 nucleotides) under uncultured bacterium. RNAcentral's name for it is "bacterial SSU rRNA". It matches the Rfam family "Bacterial small subunit ribosomal RNA", at positions 28 to 367 of the family's 1533-position model. The record is from RNAcentral.
GAUGAACGCUGGCGGCGUGCUUAACACAUGCAAGUCGAACGAGGAUUUAACGGAAUGCGAUUCGUCAAAUGAAAUUAAAUCCGAGUGGCGGACGGGUGAGUAACGCGUGGAUAACCUGCCUCACACAGGGGGACAACAGUUGGAACGACUGCUAAUACCGCAUAACACAAGUAAUUCGCAUGAAUAACUUGCCAAAGAUUAUAUCGGUGUGAGAUGGAUCCGCGUCUGAUUAGCCAGUUGGCGGGGUAACGGCCCGACCAAAGACGACGAUCAGUAGCCGACCUGAGAGGGUGACCGGCCACAUUGGGACUGAGACACGGCCCAAACUCCUACGGGAGGCAGCAGUGGGGAAUAUUGC